ACUCCUACGGGAGGCAGCAGUGGGGAAUAUUGCACAAUGGGCGCAAGCCUGAUGCAGCCAUGCCGCGUGUAUGAAGAAGGCCUUCGGGUUGUAAAGUACUUUCAGCGGGGAGGAAGGCGAUAAGGUUAAUAACCUUGUCGAUUGACGUUACCCGCAGAAGAAGCACCGGCUAACUCCGUGCCAGCAGCCGCGGUAAUACGGAGGGUGCAAGCGUUAAUCGGAAUUACUGGGCGUAAAGCGCACGCAGGCGGUCUGUCAAGUCGGAUGUGAAAUCCCCGGGCUCAACCUGGGAACUGCAUUCGAAACUGGCAGGCUAGAGUCUUGUAGAGGGGGGUAGAAUUCCAGGUGUAGCGGUGAAAUGCGUAGAGAUCUGGAGGAAUACCGGUGGCGAAGGCGGCCCCCUGGACAAAGACUGACGCUCAGGUGCGAAAGCGUGGGGAGCAAACAGGAUUAGAUACCCUAGUAGUCCCAUGA
Molecule: ribosomal RNA, 474 nt
Filed under: uncultured organism
Description: partial 16S ribosomal RNA
Rfam family: Bacterial small subunit ribosomal RNA
Source: RNAcentral